UCCUUCCCAAGAGUCCUUACCCAUCAGAUCUAAGCACUGGUCAGAGAGGCGUGUAAAAGGAGGAAAAGUAAAGUGGAAAUGAAUUUGGAUUCUUUUGUGACACACGUUCAUUUACGAAGUGU
RNAcentral lists this small nucleolar RNA (122 nucleotides) under Echinops telfairi (small Madagascar hedgehog). Its description in RNAcentral is "Small nucleolar RNA SNORA61 (ENSETEG00000026318.1)". The record is from RNAcentral. Lineage: Eukaryota; Metazoa; Chordata; Mammalia; Afrosoricida; Tenrecidae.